RNAcentral lists this ribosomal RNA (555 nucleotides) under uncultured Actinomycetes bacterium. RNAcentral describes it as "uncultured actinobacterium partial 16S ribosomal RNA". It matches the Rfam family "Bacterial small subunit ribosomal RNA", at positions 303 to 867 of the family's 1533-position model. Lineage: Bacteria; Bacillati; Actinomycetota; Actinomycetes. The record is from RNAcentral.
UUCGUCCGCCGCGCCCCGCCCCCGUCCCGCCGCCCCCCCCCGCCUACGGGAGGCAGCAGGGAAUAUUGUGCAAUGAACGAAAGUUUGACACAGCGACACCGCGUGUGGGAUGACGGAUCUAGGUUUGUAAACCACUUUCAGGAGGGAAGAAAAUGACGGUACCUCCACAAGAAGCCCCGGCCAACUACGUGCCAGCAGCCGCGGUAAUACGUAGGGGGCGAGCGUUGUCCGGAUUUAUUGGGCGUAAAGAGCUCGUAGGCGGUUCAACAAGUCGGUCGUGAAAGUUCAGGGCUCAACCCUGAAAUGUCGAUCGAUACUGUUGUGACUAGGAUACGGCAGAGGUGAGUGGAAUUCCGAGUGUAGCGGUGAAAUGCGUAGAUAUUCGGAGGAACACCAAUUGCGAAGGCAGCUCACUGGGCCGCUAUCGACGCUGAGGAGCGAAAGCUAGGGGAGCAAACAGGAUUAGAUACCCUGGUAGUCCUAGCUGUAAACGAUGGAUACUAGAUGUAGGAAUUGGUUUAACGAUUUCUGUAUCGUAGCUAACGCGUUAAGUUC